CCUACGGGAGGCAGCAGUGAGGAAUAUUGGUCAAUGGACGAGAGUCUGAACCAGCCAAGUAGCGUGAAGGAUGACUGCCCUAUGGGUUGUAAACUUCUUUUAUAAAGGAAUAAAACGAGGCACGUGUGCCUUUUUGCAUGUACUUUAUGAAUAAGGAUCGGCUAACUCCGUGCCAGCAGCCGCGGUAAUACGGAGGAUCCGAGCGUUAUCCGGAUUUAUUUGGUUUAAAGGGAGCGUAGAUGGGUUGUUAAGUCAGUUGUGAAAGUUUGCGGCUCAACCGUAAAAUUGCAAUUGAUACUGGCAGUCUUGAGUACAGUUGAGGUAGGCGGAAUACGUGGUGUAGCGGUGAAAUGCUUAGAUAUCACGAAGAAACCCGAUUGCGAAGGCAGCUUACUAAACUGUGACUGACAUUGAUGCUCGAAAGUGUGGGUAUCAAACAGGAUGAGAUACCCGGGUAGUC
Molecule: ribosomal RNA, 460 nt
Filed under: uncultured bacterium
Lineage: Bacteria
Description: partial 16S ribosomal RNA
Rfam family: Bacterial small subunit ribosomal RNA
Source: RNAcentral